ACUCUCGGCAAUGGAUAUCUUGGCUCUCGCAUCGAUGAAAAAUGUAGCAAAAUGUGAUACUUGGUGUGAAUUGCAGAAUCCCGUGAACCAUUGAGUCUUUGAACGCAAGUUGUGCCCCAAGCCAUUAGGCCGAGGGCACGUCUGCCUGGGUGUCAUGUACCAUGUCGCCCCCCCUCCGACCCCCCUCUCGUCAGGCUCCGGGGGAAGGGGUGGAGAGGAAGAUGGCCUCUCGCGAUCCUCGUGGAUCGCAGUUGGCCCAAAAGCAAGUCCCUGGCAAUGACAGCAUCGUGACCGUCGGUGGUAGAGCUCUCGACGUGCCUCGUCCCUGAUGAUGCAUGCUCGUUGUCUAUUCAGACUUGUUCGGACCCCCCACAUUGCUCGGUCGAUGCUUGUGUCGUGACCCCAGGUCAGAUGGGAUCACCCGCUAAAUUUAAGCAUAUCAAUAAGUGAAGGAAAAGAAACUUACCAGGAUUCCCCUAGUAACGGUGAGCGAACCGGGAAGAGCCUAGCUUGAGAAUCAGGUGCCCCUGACAUCCAAAUUAUAGUCUAGAGAAGCAUCCUCAGCGGCGGACCCGGGCCCAAGUCUCAUGGAAAGGGGCACCAAAGAGGGUGAGAGCCCCAUUGUGCCCGGACCCUAUCACACCACGAGGUGCAGUCCACGAGUCAGGUUGUUUGGGAAUGCAGCCCUAAUCGGGCAGUAAAUUUCAUCCAAGGCUGAAUAUGGGCGAGAGACCGAUAACGAAUAAGUACCGUGAGGGAAAGAUGAAAAAGACUAUGAAAAGAGAGUCAAAGAGUGCUUGAAAUUGUCGGGAAAGAAGCAGAUGGGGGUCGACAAUGCACCCCAGUUAGAUAUGGAACGACGAGAGCCGGUCCGUCGAUUGGCUCGAUGCGUGGACCGAAGCGGGUCACGACGGUUACCCAAGCCCAGGCUUUUGAUGUGCCCAUGGAGUCGUUGUCGCCGUGAUCGUGGAACUUAGCAUAGGCCAUCUCGACAUGCCUCGACACCGGCGUGCUCUAAGGGUCGGCCUACGGGCUCCCCAUCCGGCCCAUCUUGAAAUACGGACCAAGGAGUCUGACAUAUGUGUGAGUCAACUGGCCAAGAAACCCCUAAGGCGCAAGGAAACUGAUUGGUGGGAUCCCUCGUGGGUGCACCGCCGACUGACCUUGAUCUUCUUAGAAGGGUUCGAGUGCGAGCAUGCCCGUCGGGACCCGAAAGAUGGUGAACUAUGCCUGAGCGGGGUGAAGCCAGAGAAAACUCUGGUGGAGGCCCGCAGCGAUACUGAUAUGCAAAUUGUUCGUUUGACUUGGGUAUAGGGGCGAAAGACUAAUUGAACCGUCUAGUAGUUGGUUCCCUCCGAAGUUUCCCUCAGGAUAGCUGGAGCCCCCGUCAAGUUCUAUCGGGUAAAGCCAAUGAUUAGAGGCAUCGGGGGCACAAUGCCCUCGACCGAUUGUCAAAUUUUAAAUAGGUAAGAUGAUGCGGCUGCUUCGUUGAGCCGUGCCACAGAAUCGAGUGCUCCAAGUGGGCCAUUUUUGUUAAGCAGAACAGGCGAUGCGGGAUGAACUAGAAGUCAGGUCACGGUGCCCAACUGCACGCUAACCCAAAACCCACAAACGGUGUCGAUCGAUUAAAACAGUAGGAUGGUGGUCAUGGAAGUCGAAAUCCGCUAAGGAGUGUGUAACAACUCACCUGCCAAAUCAACUAGCCCCAAAAAUGGAUGGCGCUUAAGCGCGUAACCUAUACCUGACCAUCGAGGCAAAGGCCAGGCUCCGAUGAGUAGGAGGGCACGUCAGUCACUGUAAAACCCGAGGCGUGAGCCUGGGUGAGGCGGUCGUCGGUGCAGAUCUUGGUGGUAGUAGCAAAUAUUCAAAUGAGAACUUUAAAGGCCGAAGAGGGGAAAGGUUCCAUGUGAAUGGCAUUUGCACAUGGGUUAGUCGAUCCUAAGAGACGGGGGAAGCCCGUCCGACAGCACGUCCCGUGCGAGCUUCGAAAUGGAAUUGGGGUUAAAAUUCUUGAACUAGGACGCAGUGACUGACGGCAACGUUCUGGAGUCCGGAGACGUCGACGGGGGCCUCGGGAAGAGUUAUCUUUUCUAUUUAACGACCCGUCCACCCUGGAAACAGCUCAACUAGAGGUAGGGUCUAGUGGUCGGAAGAGCACCGCACGUCGCGUGGUGUCCAGUGCACCCCCGGUGGCCCUUGAAAAUCUGGAGGACCGAGUGCCGUCCAUGCCUGGUUGUACUCAUAACCGCAUCAGGUCUCCAAGGUGAACAGCCUAUGGUCGAUGGAACAAUGUAGGCAAGGGAAGUCGACAAAAUAGAUUCGUAACCUCGAGAAAAGGAUUGGCUCUGAGGGCUGGACAUAGGGGUCCCAGUCCCAAACCUGUCGACUGCCGGUGCACUGCUCAAGCUGCUCCCACAGCGAGAGCGAGUCACCGCGUGCCGGCUGAGGGACGGACUGGGAACGAUGCCCUCGGGGGUCUUCUUCGGACGACAAUCAGUCGACUCAAAACUAGUAUUGACAAGGGGAAUCUGACUAUUUAAUUAAAACAAAGCAUUGCGAUGGUCCGUACGGAUGCUCACGCAAUGUGAUUUCUGCCCAAUGCUCUGAAUGUCAAAGUGAAGAAAUUCAACCAGCACGGGUAAACGGCAGGAGUAACUAUGACUCUCUUAAGGUAGCCAAAUGCCUCAUCAUCUAAUUAGUGACGCGCAUGAAUAGAUUAAUGAGAUUCCCACUGUCCCUAUCUACUAUCCAGCCAAACCACAGCCAAGGGAACGGGCUUGGUGGAAUCAACGGGGAAAAAAGACCCUGUUAAGCUUGACUCUAGUCCUACUUUGUGAAAUGACUUGAGAGGCGUAAGAUAAGUGGGAGCCCCCGGGCGAAAUUGAAAUACCACUACUUUUAACAUUAUUUUACUUAUUCCGUGAAUCAGAGGUGGGGCACAACCCCUUCUUUUGGAUCCAAGGUCGGCCUCGAUCAGUCGAUCCGGGCAGAAGACAUUGUCAGGUAGGGAGUUUGGCUGGGGUGGCACAUCUGUUAAAAGAUAAUGCAGGUGUCUUAAGAUGUGCUCAAUGAGAACAAAAAUCUCUUGUGAAACAAAAGGGUAAAAGCUCGUUCGAUUCUGAUUUUUAGUAUGAAUAUGAACCGUGAAAGCAUGGCCUAUCGAUCCUUUAGACUUUUGGGAUUUGAAGCUAGAGGUGUCAGAAAAGUUACCAUAGGGAUAACUAGCUUGUGGCAGCCAAGCGUUCGACGUUGCUUUUUGAUCCUUCGAUGUCGGCUCUUCCUAUCAUUGUGAAGCAGAAUUCACCAAGUGUUGGAUUGUUCACCCACCAAUAGGGAACGUGAGUUGGGUUUAGACCAUUGUGAGACAGGUUAGUUUUACCCUAUUGAUAGCGACGUCACUAUAGUAAUUCAACCUAGUACGAGAGGAACCACUGAUUCACCUCGAUCGACCUCUGAAUUUUUGUUUUGGCACCAAACCGACUGUUGGGGACCAAAUGCACGAGCCAACCAAGGAUCCUGCUGCUGGUCCCCCUCGAUUGU
Molecule: ribosomal RNA, 3540 nt
Filed under: Durio zibethinus
Lineage: Eukaryota; Viridiplantae; Streptophyta; Magnoliopsida; Malvales; Malvaceae
Description: eukaryotic LSU rRNA
Rfam family: Eukaryotic large subunit ribosomal RNA (bases 398-3540)
Source: RNAcentral